RNAcentral lists this ribosomal RNA (865 nucleotides) under uncultured bacterium. RNAcentral's name for it is "bacterial SSU rRNA". It matches the Rfam family "Bacterial small subunit ribosomal RNA", at positions 44 to 899 of the family's 1533-position model. The record is from RNAcentral.
AGGCUUAACACAUGCAAGUCGAGGGGAAACGACAUCGAAAGCUUGCUUUUGAUGGGCGUCGACCGGCGCACGGGUGAGUAACGCGUAUCCAACCUGCCCACCACUUGGGGAUAACCUUGCGAAAGUAAGACUAAUACCCAAUGACGUCUCUAGAAGACAUCUGAAGGAGAUUAAAGAUUUAUCGGUGAUGGAUGGGGAUGCGUCUGAUUAGCUUGUUGGCGGGGUAACGGCCCACCAAGGCAACGAUCAGUAGGGGUUCUGAGAGGAAGGUCCCCCACAUUGGAACUGAGACACGGUCCAAACUCCUACGGGAGGCAGCAGUGAGGAAUAUUGGUCAAUGGGCGAGAGCCUGAACCAGCCAAGUAGCGUGCAGGAUGACGGCCCUAUGGGUUGUAAACUGCUUUUAUAAGGGAAUAAAGUGAGUCUCGUGAGACUUUUUGCAUGUACCUUAUGAAUAAGGACCGGCUAAUUCCGUGCCAGCAGCCGCGGUAAUACGGAAGGUCCGGGCGUUAUCCGGAUUUAUUGGGUUUAAAGGGAGCGUAGGCCGGAGAUUAAGCGUGUUGUGAAAUGUAGACGCUCAACGUCUGCACUGCAGCGCGAACUGGUUUCCUUGAGUACGCACAAAGUGGGCGGAAUUCGUGGUGUAGCGGUGAAAUGCUUAGAUAUCACGAAGAACUCCGAUUGCGAAGGCAGCUCACUGGAGCGCAACUGACGCUGAAGCUCGAAAGUGCGGGUAUCGAACAGGAUUAGAUACCCUGGUAGUCCGCACGGUAAACGAUGGAUGCCCGCUGUUGGUCUGAAUAGGUCAGCGGCCAAGCGAAAGCAUUAAGCAUCCCACCUGGGGAGUACGCCGGCAACGGUGAAA